CAGAGUUGCAAAACUCCCUAAACCAUUGUGAACGUUACCUUCAAACCGUUGCUUCGGCGGGCGGCCCGGGUCCGCCCGGUGCCCCCUGGCCCCCUUGCGGGGCGCCCGCCGGAGGAAAACCCAACUCUUGAUUAUUAUGGCCUCUCUGAGUCUUCUGUACUGAAUAAGUCA
Molecule: unclassified non-coding RNA, 171 nt
Filed under: uncultured Chaetomium
Lineage: Eukaryota; Fungi; Ascomycota; Sordariomycetes; Sordariales; Chaetomiaceae
Description: sequence contains ITS1
Source: RNAcentral